CAAAAAGAUGGCUGCUGUCAAGGGUGUGUACAUGUCUCUGUAGCUACUGAAGGGAAGGAACACUUUUCCCUGCCUGGAAGUGCCAGCUUAGGCUUCAUAGCACUGCGUGGGCUGGCUAGUAGGAAUUAUCAACUUGCUGGGUGAUCUUGAAGGAUGAUUAACAGGACACAAUUGGAGAAACCGGUUAUUUUACCAAAGCUUUGGAAUGGUGUACUUUCCCUUAAGGAAUCAAAUAUGACUUAUGGAAACAAUAAAAGUCCCUUGGGAAAACUGGCCUCAUACCUUGUCUACACAGUUUCUGUACAGGAUUCCUGACCUGUGAGAAGGAAACUAAGCCUCAAGGUGGUUAUGGUACAUUGCCACUAAUAAGAGGCAGACCUGGGGCUCAACCUGCAGUUGUCUGACUCUAUAGAUGGCAAAAACUUACUGAAGAUGCUCUUUUGGGAGAUGGAUCAAGCACUGUGUUUUAUGAAGUUGAACAGAGAGAAGUUGGGAACGUGAUUCUCCAGGCACCAACAUCUUCCUCAAAAGUAUUGUUUACCUUAUUGUCCCUACUUGGUCCUUGAAGAAACAGAGUGUGUGACCCUUGCUUCCAAUCUUGUCCUCUUUCUAGCAUACCACGGUAUCACCUCUUUGAUAUUAUUUUAAUUCCUGUACCUACUUGAAGGAGCAUGCUGUUGAAAUGACUUUUAUAAUCUCAGCAAGAGCCCUACAGUUCAUAAACAUAAGGGCACAAGCUUCCUCCCACUUUAUGUGAUAGCUCAGUCUAGCAGAUGGGUUUUCCUGAAUUAUUCAUUUGUGACUAAUUUGUUUAGUAGCAUCUAUGUACUCAUAUCCCAUCUCUCUUAUGAGUGAACCUAAGUGCUUUGGCAAACUAUUUUAUUCUAUAAUCAAAGAAUGAAAGAUGGAGUCAACUUUUGAUGGUUGGCUUAUAUUUAAGCAGUUGCCCCAAACUUGCUAAUUCUUGGUUUCUCUUUCCCUACUCCAUAGACAUACACCAACCAUGAGUUGUGUAUCCAAAUCUCAUCUUGAGUUGUAGCUCCGAUAAUUCCCAUGUGUCAUGGGAGGGACCUAGCAGGAGGUAAUUGAAUCAUGGGGGCGGGUCUUUCCUGUGCUAUUCUCGUGAUAGUGAAUAAGUCUUAUGAGAACCUGAUGGUUUUAUGAAGGGGAGUUCCCCUGCAUGCACCCUCUUGCCUGCCAUCAUAUAAGACAUCCCUUUGGUUCUCCUUUGCCUUCCACCAUGAUUUUGAGGCCUCCCUGGUCAUGUGGAGCUGUGAAUCAAUUAAACCUCUUU
RNAcentral lists this long non-coding RNA (1294 nucleotides) under Homo sapiens (human). Its description in RNAcentral is "HSALNT0153908". Lineage: Eukaryota; Metazoa; Chordata; Mammalia; Primates; Hominidae. The record is from RNAcentral.